Molecule: non-coding RNA, 88 nt
Organism: Ceratobasidium sp. 394
Lineage: Eukaryota; Fungi; Basidiomycota; Agaricomycetes; Cantharellales; Ceratobasidiaceae
Source: the annotation of a GenBank genome assembly
GGCUUCGUAGUGUAGUGGUUAUCACCUCGGAUUCUGACUUUAAUAAUUGGAAAUUCCGGUAACGCCGGUUCGAAUCCGGCCGAGGCCU